GUGACUGCGUACCUUUUGUAUAAUGGGUCAGCGACUUAUAUUCUGUAGCAAGGUUAACCGAAUAGGGGAGCCGGAGGGAAACCGAGUCUUAAUUGGGCGUUAAGUUGCAGGGUAUAGACCCGAAACCCGGUGAUCUAGCCAUGGGCAGGUUGAAGGUUGGGUAACACUAACUGGAGGACCGAACCGACUAAUGUUGAAAAAUUAGCGGAUGACCUGUGGCUGGGGGUGAAAGGCCAAUCAAACCGGGAGAUAGCUGGUUCUCCCCGAAAGCUAUUUAGGUAGCGCCUCGUGAAUUCAUCUCCGGGGGUAGAGCACUGUUUCGGCUAGGGGGCCAUCCCGGCUUACCAACCCGAUGCAAACUGCGAAUACCGGAGAAUGUUAUCACGGGAGACACACGGCGGGUGCUAACGUCCGUCGUGAAGAGGGAAACAACCCAGACCGCCAGCUAAGGUCCCAAAGUCAUGGUUAAGUGGGAAACGAUGUGGGAAGGCCCAGACAGCCAGGAUGUUGGCUUAGAAGCAGCCAUCAUUUAAAGAAAGCGUAAUAGCUCACUGGUCGAGUCGGCCUGCGCGGAAGAUGUAACGGGGCUAAACCAUGCACCGAAGCUGCGGCAGCGACACUCAGGUGUUGUUGGGUAGGGGAGCGUUCUGUAAGCCUGCGAAGGUGGCCUGUGAGGGUUGCUGGAGGUAUCAGAAGUGCGAAUGCUGACAUAAGUAACGAUAAAGCGGGUGAAAAGCCCGCUCGCCGGAAGACCAAGGGUUCCUGUCCAACGUUAAUCGGGGCAGGGUGAGUCGACCCCUAAGGCGAGGCCGAAAGGCGUAGUCGAUGGGAAACGGGUUAAUAUUCCCGUACUUGGUGUUACUGCGAAGGGGGGACGGAGAAGGCUAUGUUGGCCGGGCGACGGUUGUCCCGGUUUAAGCGUGUAGGUGUGUGUUCCAGGUAAAUCCGGUUCACUUUAACACUGAGGCGUGACGACGAGGCACUACGGUGCUGAAGCAACAAAUGCCCUGCUUCCAGGAAAAGCCUCUAAGCAUCAGGUAACAUCAAAUCGUACCCCAAACCGA
This 1064-nucleotide ribosomal RNA is filed under the name Salmonella enterica subsp. enterica serovar Agona. RNAcentral's name for it is "partial 23S ribosomal RNA". It matches the Rfam family "Bacterial large subunit ribosomal RNA", at positions 593 to 1657 of the family's 2925-position model. Lineage: Bacteria; Pseudomonadati; Pseudomonadota; Gammaproteobacteria; Enterobacterales; Enterobacteriaceae. The record is from RNAcentral.